CAGUCGCCACGGUAAAACGUAGGGUGCAAGCGUUAAUCGGAAUUACUGGGCGUAAAGCGUGCGCAGGCGGUUAUAUAAGACAGAUGUGAAAUCCCCGGGCUCAACCUGGGAACUGCAUUUGUGACUGUAUAGCUAGAGUACGGCAGAGGGGGAUGGAAUUCCGCGUGUAGCAGUGAAAUGCGUAGAUAUGCGGAGGAACACCGAUGGCGAAGGCAAUCCCCUGGGCCUGUACUGACGCUCAUGCACGAAAGCGUGGGGAGCAAACAGGAUUAGAUACCCGUGUAGUCCCUGUCUCUUAUAC
RNAcentral lists this ribosomal RNA (301 nucleotides) under uncultured bacterium. RNAcentral describes it as "partial 16S ribosomal RNA". It matches the Rfam family "Bacterial small subunit ribosomal RNA", at positions 509 to 807 of the family's 1533-position model. The record is from RNAcentral.